This 302-nucleotide ribosomal RNA is filed under the name uncultured bacterium. Its description in RNAcentral is "bacterial SSU rRNA". It matches the Rfam family "Bacterial small subunit ribosomal RNA", at positions 287 to 601 of the family's 1533-position model. The record is from RNAcentral.
CCGGCCUGAGAGGGUGUCCGGCCACACUGGGACUGAGAUACGGCCCAGACUCCUACGGGAGGCAGCAGUGGGGAAUAUUGCACAAUGGGCGCAAGCCUGAUGCAGCGACGCCGCGUGAGGGAUGACGGCCUUCGGGUUGUAAACCUCUUUCAGCAGGGACGAAGCGCAAGUGACGGUACCUGCAGAAGAAGCACCGGCCAACUACGUGCCAGCAGCCGCGGUAAUACGUAGGGUGCGAGCGUUGUCCGGAAUUACUGGGCGUAAAGAGCUCGUAGGUGGUUUGUCGCGUUGUUCGUGAAAAC